GUGCUCGCUGCCGUAGCACAUAUGCUAAAAGGGGAACCACACAGAGAAGAGUAGCACGGCCCCUGCCAAGGAUGAUGCAAAUUUGUGAAGAGCUCCAUGUUAUU
Lemur catta (Ring-tailed lemur) is the source of this 104-nucleotide small nuclear RNA. The record is from RefSeq and is a predicted model, not a curated record. NCBI's taxonomy places the organism in Eukaryota, Metazoa, Chordata, Mammalia, Primates, Lemuridae.